CUGCAGAUGAUGUUAAAAGUUACAUCGACUGAGAUCUUUUUUGGGUCUCUGAUGUCUAAAAAAUCGAGCUUUUUAAAACUGAUGCUUA
Panicum hallii is the source of this 88-nucleotide small nucleolar RNA. The record is from RefSeq and is a predicted model, not a curated record. Lineage: Eukaryota; Viridiplantae; Streptophyta; Magnoliopsida; Poales; Poaceae.